RNAcentral lists this microRNA precursor (77 nucleotides) under Chlorocebus sabaeus (green monkey). RNAcentral describes it as "miRNA (ENSCSAG00000025797.1)". The record is from RNAcentral. Lineage: Eukaryota; Metazoa; Chordata; Mammalia; Primates; Cercopithecidae.
UGAUAGGGAGACCAGGCAGGAAAUAUUGUCUCCUCGAGUUGCAACUAGACAGUAUUUCUUGCCUGGUCUCCCUAUCA